CACCAGUCUGAAACCACCUUUAACCAAGUUCACAGUUUGGGUUCCCUGGAUGUCUUAGUCCGUUUAUGCUGAAUUUAACAGAAACAAGUUCGAAGAAAAACCAUGUAAAAGCCUGCAAUGAUAUUUUCACCUUUUUUGUGGAAAGAAAUAGAUACAGAAUUGGUAGUAUUUACUAUUAUGGCAUUUUGCUUUUGAAGGAGAAGAACCUGUAUGGUCAUGAAAAUCCACCAAAAAAUAAAAAAUACAAAUGACUAUGCGAGAUUUGCCAGUUAAACACAGUUUUUUAAAAUGAAGAGGACAUCUAAUAAAGGGGAAAUAUGUUCAUACAUCUUAAUGACUUACCAUUAAAAGUACCAGUUUAAAAGAAG
Molecule: long non-coding RNA, 368 nt
Filed under: Homo sapiens (human)
Lineage: Eukaryota; Metazoa; Chordata; Mammalia; Primates; Hominidae
Description: non-protein coding lnc-C9orf135-1:1
Source: RNAcentral